UACAGAGGUCCCAAGCGUUGUUCGGAUUCACUGGGCGUAAAGGGUGCGUAGGCGGUCGGGUAAGUCUGUCGUGAAAUCUCCGAGCCCAACCCGGAAACUGCGUCGGAUACUAUUCGGCUAGAGGAAUGGAGGGGAGACUGGAAUUCUCGGUGUAGCAGUGAAAUGCGUAGAUAUCGAGAGGAACACCAGUGGCGAAGACGAGUCUCUGGACAUUUCCUGACGCUGAGGCACGAAAGCCAGGGGAGCAAACGGG
Molecule: ribosomal RNA, 253 nt
Filed under: uncultured bacterium
Lineage: Bacteria
Description: partial 16S ribosomal RNA
Rfam family: Bacterial small subunit ribosomal RNA
Source: RNAcentral